CCUACGGGUGGCAGCAGUGGGGAAUAUUGGACAAUGGGGGGAACCCUGAUCCAGCGACGCCGCGUGAGUGAAGAAGUAUUUCGGUAUGUAAAGCUCUAUCAGCAGGGAAGAAAAUGACUGUACCUAUAAAGGAAGCACCGGCUAACUCCGUGCCAGCAGCCGCGGUAAUACGGGGGGUGCAAGCGUUGUCCGGAAUCAUUGGGCGUAAGGCGUUCGUAGGCGGCAAGGUAAGUCUGAUGUUAAAGCCCGGGGCUCAACUCCGGUUCGGCAUUGGAUACUAUCUAGCUAGAAUGUGGUAGAGGUAAAGGGAAUUCCUGGUGUAGCGGUGAAAUGCGUAGAUAUCAGGAGGAACAUCGGUGGCGAAAGCGCUUUACUGGACCAUGAUUGACGCUGAGGAACGAAAGCCAGGGGAGCAAAUGGGAUUAGAUACCCUGGUAGUC
RNAcentral lists this ribosomal RNA (440 nucleotides) under uncultured bacterium. RNAcentral's name for it is "partial 16S ribosomal RNA". It matches the Rfam family "Bacterial small subunit ribosomal RNA", at positions 338 to 795 of the family's 1533-position model. The record is from RNAcentral.